RNAcentral lists this ribosomal RNA (229 nucleotides) under uncultured fungus. RNAcentral describes it as "partial 26S ribosomal RNA". It matches the Rfam family "Eukaryotic large subunit ribosomal RNA", at positions 38 to 281 of the family's 3401-position model. Lineage: Eukaryota; Fungi. The record is from RNAcentral.
GCAUAUCAAUAAGCGGAGGAAAAGAAGCUAACCAGGAUUGCCUCAGUAAGGGCGACUGAAGCCGGAAUAGCUCACCGUGUGAAUCUGUGCCUCGUGCACCGAAUUGUGGUCUGGAGACUCUUGCAUUACUGGCCGGGCCAAGUCCCUUGGAACAGGGCAGCUGAGAGGGUGAGACUCCCGUUUGCCCGGCCCUUGGAACAAGUGUGUUCGAGUCGAGUUGUUUGGGAAU